This is a long non-coding RNA of Micropterus dolomieu (smallmouth bass), 1024 nucleotides long. RefSeq lists it as uncharacterized. Lineage: Eukaryota; Metazoa; Chordata; Actinopteri; Centrarchiformes; Centrarchidae. The record is from RefSeq and is a predicted model, not a curated record. The transcript has 4 exons.
ACAUGAAAUCCUAGAGAGAAACAAAAUAAGUUGAUCAUGAUGAUGUUGUUGCUAUUCGCUUAACUACAAACUGAUAUACAAGACAGUCUGUUACCAGUUAUUGUGGAGCCACCAGUGUCCUUUGGAUCAGCCCAAGUCAAGAGGGCCAUCUCGUGGCGGAUGCUCGCUAUUUCUGGAGGAGCAGGUGCCCCGGGCACAUCUGGAAGCACAGACAGAGAGAGGGUUAGUUGGACACCUCCGCACCACCAUCGUCUUUGGGCGGUCCCCACUCCAGGGUUAUGCCGUCAGCAGUGAUCUCAUCAAACUUAAUGGGUCCUGUGCAGAUGCCAGGCUUACCGACCACCUUCAGCUGGAUCUUGCAGUCCUUGGAGCCAGCGCUGUUUCUGACAUUGAUGGUGAUGUAAGCGGUAAUGUGGCUUCCACCGUCGCUGAAGGGCUUCUUCCAGCCCAGGACGACAGAGUCCUUGGUGGUCUUCAGGGCUUUGAAGUCUGUCACUGGACCAGAUUGCUCUGAAGGGGGAGGACAGAUGAGUUAAGAGUAUUCUCCUCCGCUGCAUAAAACAACAAUGACUUGUAACUACCUGAGGCUCGGACGAUCCCGGCAGUCUCACAGCCCUCUCCGAUGCCGUAGGCGUUUUCAGCCAGCACUCUGAAGCAGUAGGCCUGUCCCGCCUCCAGGUUGGUGACCCUGAAGGAGAUUUUGUGGCAGUCUGCUGACACGCAGGUCCAGGCCUUCCUCUCUGCCAGACGUUUCUCUACGACAUAGCUCUUGACUGGGCUGCCGCCGUCAAUCAGUGGGGCGUCCCAGGUGAUGCAGGCGUGGCUUCUGGAGGUCUCCUUUACGAUCAGGUUCAAAGGUGGUCCAGGAGAAUCUGAGGGUGGGGGGAGAAGCAGUAUCUCUGGGUCAGAGAUUUUGUUAACUGAACUGAGAUACAAUUCAGAUUGUAGAUGGACAUAAUGGGAGUGAAAAUAUCUUAAUACUAAUGCUGACUUUCACUGUUUCUGCAAUCACAGUUUUAGUGGA